This 5479-nucleotide long non-coding RNA is filed under the name Heterocephalus glaber (naked mole-rat). RNAcentral describes it as "lncRNA (ENSHGLG00100034435.1)". The record is from RNAcentral. Lineage: Eukaryota; Metazoa; Chordata; Mammalia; Rodentia; Bathyergidae.
ACUCACUAGCCUGUGGCGCUGUAAUUGGAAGGUGCUGGAACCUUGGAACCGCGGAAGAGCCUUGUGGGAGCUCUUCCAACCAUUGGCCCAAGAAAGGAGUAUUGAGACACAGCCCUCCCUCUUUCUUUUCCUGUCCCAGCCAUGAGUAACAGAAACCUGACUGAUGCAGCAUGCUUCUGUCUUACAGGAUAGGACAUCAGAUUGGAACACAAGUGCUCCACAAUGUGCUGUCUUCCCUAGAGGUGGUCAAUAUGAAGCACAUGAGAAAAGGAUUGGUUAGACACAUACAAAGCUAUAAGCCAAGAAGAGGAAAGGGUUUAAAAGAAAAAGGGACAGUUAAGACCAGACAAAAAGACAAGGAAAAGCAGAAUGAAGGAAGGAAUAAGAAAAGAAGAUAUAGGUGGAAAUAGAGAAGUAACAAUGAUUAAAAUAUAUUGAAGCUUUACCAUUUGCCAGGCAUUAUAAAUGCUUUCCACAAAUUACAGUGUGUAAGCCUCAUAAUGUGAGGAAUCUUCUACUAUUUUUCCCACUCAACAGAAAAGAAAAAUGAUGUUUAGAGAGAUACACAGACGUGUUGAAGGUCAUAGAACUAGUGAGGGGAAAACCAGGGAUUUAAAUCCAUGCCUUUCUUAACUCCUAACAUGUACUUCACCUUAUGCUCAAGGGACAAUGUCGUGUGCUUAGUUCAUAUCAACAGCUUAAAUGCAUAAUAUGUGCUCUUAACCUCUGAGCUGGAGUCACAGGCUUUGUGAGAUUGCCGUCUCUCUGUCCUGGUGGAAGAGCAAGCCAGUAAACAUGGAAUACUGCCACGGUAAUCAGAGUGAGUAGAGGUCCCAUGGACCUGGGAUUCCAGAGACUUUAUUUUCAUUCAUUCCGCAUUAAUUGGACAGCAGGAUAUGAAGUUGAAUAAAUCCAAAUUAUUGUUCUUGAAAAUAUCAUAGCUUUUAAGGAGAUUAAAAGUUUCAUAUUACUCACUCCUGAAUGAGCUGCAGGGAUCUGUCAAGUGUUUCCUUCUGGUUGAUUCUUCUUUCUGCGAUGACUGCAGCUUUUACUACAUAAUAUUUUAAUGACAAAUAAAAGAAUAGUCUACUAAAUAAGUGACUUAUUGCUUCGUAGCAAUUCUAAGUACUUAACAUUACAUGGUAAUGUGCUUAUCUGUCUUUAUCCAUGGACCCAGAACAAGUACAUAUAAAAUAUUUUUUACUACAAGAAUAGAUGGAAGUUUUAAAGAACUUUAUUAAUUUUUUUGGUACCAGGGAUCGAACUCAGGACCUUGCGCUUGCCAGGCAGGCGGCGGCACCACUGAGCUAAAUCCCUAACUGAAAGAACUUUGCAAACCAGAAAUUCUCAUUUUUCAGUAAUAUACAUACAGUUCUUUUAAAAAAAUUAACCCCAACAUGCUAUAUUUAAAGUCCUUACUUUCAAAAAUUGUUUCCUCCCUUUAAAAGGUGCUUGUUUUGACCCCUUAAGUAGGAAUUCUUGGCCUCAUAUGGGCACUCAAAUUUUCAGUUCCUACCCUGAAAAGAAUGUAACACACACACCAUAAAGUCAGUAAAUGUCCAAAUAUGGAAUACCUUCCAUUCCCUAAAUUAUCUUUUGAUGAGAAGUAGUUUAGAUAAUGAUAAAACCAUAGUUUACUCAUGGAUAGUGCCACUGUAAUCUCAGGCUGAGAAAGAAGGAUCAGGGAGAGUUCCAGGCCAGCCUAGGCUAUAUAGUGAGUUCAAGGUCAGUCUGAACUACAUAGCAAGACCCUAUCUCAAGAUUAAAAAAAUACAUAAAUGAAAAAACUCACAAAUAAGCAAACAAAUAAAUAAACAGAACACACCAUAGAUUGGUCAUUACAAACAUAGAGCUAUAAUGUGUAUAAUGGUCUAUGUUUCUUUUCAAAAGUUCAAGGAGAUAAGAGCCUUCGGUUUCCUAAACAUACCUGUGUGUGUUUGUUUGCUUGUUUUGCAGUAGUGGAAACCAGGGCUUUUCAAAUGCUAACCAAGCACUCAACCAUAUAGCUACACCCCAGCCUAUAUCUACCUUGUUCUCUAGUAAAUAAUGCCAAGUCCACAGCAACUCCAUGACUUCCAGUCAAAGGCCCCAUUAUAGAUUAACUUGCAGGGCACAGCGUGUAUGGCCCGAGGGAAAGUGCAGUUCAACUGGGAUGUCUGUACCAUGUCCUAAGGAAAAGUAUCAGGAGUUUCUGGAAUCCAAAAGACUGAUAACCUUCCUGUAAAUUGGCAGAUUUACAUUUAUUGCAAUGGAGAAAUUUGUCAGACAAUUGCUUAAUCUUUGUCCAAAGAGAAAGGGGAAAAUGUGUUUCAGGAAAUAGUUCUGUUCCUUCCUACUUAGCUCUGAUGAAAAAAAGAAAAAAAAAACCUCAAAACAAGAGUGCAAAAAUAUUCCUAGUUACAAAAGCAACUCUGAAAAUUUUUAAAUCCUGGGAGUUGUGUAGGCAGAAAAAGUAGUGUUCCUAUUCACUGAUUAAUAACUUUUUUAAUAGCUAGGUUAAUACAUAAAAUAUUAUCCUGAGUUCUAAUCCCUCCUCUCCAACUACCUACCUGCCUAUCCACAAGGCCAUAGGAAGAUUAUUUGCCCAUUUAGUUUCCACAAAUACUGUACAUACUUGGUCUGGAGUGCUCUUGAGUGAUAAGUGGUGCAAAAUAAUUAAUACAUUAACUGACUGACAACAUUUGCAAAAAGGACUCUGCCAGGAUAGCAAGUACUUACCUAUUCUGGGAAAUAAGUCAUCCACUGCCCACAUGAGUCAGGAAGGAGUUAGGUGACCUUUCACCAGUGAUCAUUUUCUUUGUGUAAACGUAAGUAUAACUAUGAUUAGUUCCAUUCACUUGUCCAAAAAUGUCUCUUCCACAAAGGUGCCUCUUUGGAUUGCUAUGGAUCUUUUCCUUUGGGUGUAAGAUUGUAACAAAACUUUGAUAUUUGCUUUUGACUGACUUUUAGGGGCAGUGGGUGCUGAAGACAAAAUCCAAUGCUUCACACAUGCUAAGCAUGUGCUCUAUCACUGCUCUACACCCCAGCCCUUGAAUUGGUUUGAAAGGAUUCUUUAGCAAUAAAGAGACAGUAAAGCAAAAAGUCAAGGCUGUUUUGCUGUGUGUGAAAUGGGAUAGUAAGUCCCUGCCUCACAGGUUGUCUUGAAAAUGAAAUGUAUGGAACUGGUGUAGAAAGUACAUUUAGGGGUACAGGACCACUUUCCUCCACUCACCUGAACCCAGCCAAUGCCCCAGGGCUCCUUGACCUUUCAGGGAGAGAUCAGAGAAGACAAAGACCCCUGAGCCCACCUAGAGAGAUUUCAAAGUGGAAAAACAAGAUCUGUGAGUGCCAGCUCCUCAAGCCUGACCUAUUGUAUCAGUUAGAGUUCACUAGCGUAACAGAUUUGAUGUACUUUAUUUAUUUAUUAGAUAUGCUUACAAUAGCCGCCUGUAGAGUCCUGUGUGGAAGAAUGCAAAGGGCGGUCUGCACACUGGAGAGCCAAAGAAUCCAGUCAAAGGUGAAAGACCUGAAGCUCACUGCCCAGUCCUGUUGCAGUCUGUAUCAGGAAGCUGAAGGGUCGAUGUUCAGAGGCUGAGGAGUCUGCGUGAGAAGGCUAGUAGAGACAGACAUCCAAAAGCAAUGGCAAAGAUUGGAGCUCCUCCAAAGAUGAAGAAGCAAGACUUCCUUCUUUCCCUUUUUAUUCCAUUCAGGCUACAAGCCUAUUGGCUGGUGCCACCCACCCCCAGGGUGGGUCUUUCCUCUUCAGUCAGUCCUUCAUUCAGUCACACCCAGGACUCUGCCAAGCCAGUCAGCUGGGUGUUUCUUAUUCAAAUUGACACGACAAUUAGCUAUCAUACCUAUAAUAAUUACCCAUAGUAAUUUUUCUUCACAUAGGGCUCAUUAAAGUUUCAUGCAUUUGCCAGGGAUGUAGCUCAGCAGCACAGCGCCUGCCUGGCAAGCUUGAGGUCCUGAGUUUGAUCCCCAGUGCCAUAAAUAAAUAAAUAAAUAAAUAAAUAAAUAAAUAAAUGUAUGUUGGCACAUAUGGACUGCAUCUCACACAUCUGAUUGUAACAGAGUGGAUUAUGGGAGGGGACAGGCAUCAUAGAUGCAGAUGACAUGACUCAGAAUCCUAUUGGUCACAUUGGCCAUCAUGCUCUGGAAGACCCAAUGGGAGGCAUCCUACACCAGGUACAGCAUUUUAAAUUCUUAAACCCAACACAUUUAGCAUUAACGCCAUUUUCCAUUUAACCAGUGCAAGCUCACUCACUCUGAGCAAACCAUCCCCUAAUAAAACUUCGUUAAACUUUAUUGCUUUUCUCCUUCCCAUCAUGUGCAAUUCUUUUUUUUUUUUAACGUGCAAUCCUUUAUUGCAAUUCUUUGUUUCCUUACUGUCACACACCGGAACUUAGAAACCCGUCCAGACCUCAUCAACUUGGACAAAAGAACUGAAUCUAACACUGGAAUCACUGCACGUUAGCUGUAACUUUUAGAUGUAAAAUGAUGAGACUGAACAAGAUGUUCUCUUUGGUCUCUGGGAGUUUUCAAUUUGUGAGAACCCUAGGAAUAGCACCUUAAAACUAGUUACUUUGGGUCAAAUCUAUAACAAUUUAACUGGAAAAGGGACUUAAGAGUUAGACUUAUUGAUAAGCAAUGGAAAAUACAAAAUGACAGUGGUGUAAGUAAGAUUAGGUUUUCUUUCUUUCCUCCUCCUCCUUCUCCUUCUUCCUCUUUAUAUAUAUUUUUUCACUAUAUAAGCCAGGAGGCCUUUCACCUCCCUAGGAAGCCCAGGCCGGUCUUGAAUUCUCAAUUCUGUCUCAGCUCCCCAAGUGCUGGGAUGACAGGCACAUUACACAUGCUGGACUAAAACAAUGUUUUCUUUAUGUCAUGACCUAUCAUUAUAUAACAAAUUACCCCAAAACUUAGUGGCAUAAAGGAGAAACAUUUACUGUUUCUUAGUUUAUGAGAUCCAGAAAUCCUGGGAUGGUUUGGCUGGGUGGUUCUAGCUUAAACUGCAUGCUCUGGAAACAUUUUUCCCAGAUGCAUUUGGUUUAAAAGGGUAGGUAUGUGACUCUCAGAAUCCAAACAGCCAAACAUUACUGUAAAUCCAUUUGUUUUCCCUUUUCAUGUGGGCAAUAAUGUCAAAUGUGCUAUGCAGGCAGAUUAACGUUUCAGACAAACUUAGGGCCGGGGAUUUAGCUCAGUGGUUCCGCUGCCUGCCUUGCAGGCACAAGGACCUGAGUUUGAUCCCCAGUACCCAAAAAAAAAAAAAAAAAAAAAAAAGAUUAAACAUUUUAGACAAACUUGAUUGACUUUUAAUAUAAACUGUUACAAUGCACACUGAUUGUAUAUAAAAACCUUAUAUGUGACAAAUUAAAUUUAAGAGAAAGGAAAAAAAGAAAACAAACUUAAUUUGGAUAAUUCAAGUGAGACUCUCUUCACAAUUUGCAACCUAAAAUAUUGAAAUCCUUUCCCUCAAGAGUAUUCUAAAAUUGUAUCGGUC